CCGCGUGCUGCCCUACCGGGGGGAGCUCGUGGCCACUGCCCAGGAGGCGCUGGCGGUGGCGGAGCGGUUCGACACCGCCCUGGCGGACC
Molecule: transfer RNA, 89 nt
Filed under: Kocuria rosea
Lineage: Bacteria; Bacillati; Actinomycetota; Actinomycetes; Micrococcales; Micrococcaceae
Description: tRNA-Ser(act)
Source: RNAcentral